RNAcentral lists this ribosomal RNA (1122 nucleotides) under Cyzicus sp. WRH-2009. RNAcentral's name for it is "eukaryotic LSU rRNA". It matches the Rfam family "Eukaryotic large subunit ribosomal RNA", at positions 29 to 978 of the family's 3401-position model. The record is from RNAcentral. Lineage: Eukaryota; Metazoa; Arthropoda; Branchiopoda; Diplostraca; Cyzicidae.
UGAAUUUAAGCAUAUCACUAAGCGGAGGAAAAGAAACUAACAAGGAUUCCCCUAGUAGCGGCGAGCGAAGAGGGAAAAGCCCAGCACCGAACCUCGCGCCCCCGGGUGUCGCGGAAUGUGGUGUUUAGGAGGACCGUGCGCGUCUGUCCGGUAUCGUCCAAGUCUCCAUGAAUGGGGCCAGCAACCCAGAGAGGGUGUCAGGCCCGUAGGACUGAGCCGCGACGGCGUAUUGGGUCUCUCCUUAGAGUCGGGUUGCUUGAGAGUGCAGCCCUAAGUGGGAGGUAAACUCCUUCUAAGGCUAAAUACGGCCACGAGACCGAUAGCGAACAAGUACCGCGAGGGAAAGUUGAAAAGAACUUUGAAGAGAGAGUUCAAUAGUGCGUGAAACCGUUCAGGGGGUUAAACGGGUGGGCCCUCGAAGGUCGAACGCUCCCUACUCGCGUCUCCGCUCGUCGGUCCGUGCCGCUUUUCCGAUCUCGCUACGGGACGGAGCGGUGCGGUAACUGGUGCGAGCGGGGGCGUUUAGUUAGGGGGCCAGUAGGACUCCGCAACCGUCUGGAGCUAGUCGUCAGAAGGGCUCUGGUAGAAAGCCUCCUCGCGGGGUGGACUCCGGGGUUCCGGGCGAUCUCUCCGGCCGUGAACCGGCAUUCCUCUCGGCUGGCGUCCGUGACGAGCUUCCCCUUCACGAGGGGGGAGUUGUCGGUUGCGGGCGUCACCGGGGGACGCUAGCGGAGAGUAGAGUCGGGUCCCACCCGACCCGUCUUGAAACACGGACCAAGGAGUCUAACAUGUGCGCGAGUCGUCGGGAUUAUAACUAAACCCGAAGGCGCAAUGAAAGUGAAGAUCGACCUCGUCGUUGAUCUAGGGGAGAUCCCGUUCUGCUCCGGUAGCUCGGGCGCAUCCCCGGGGCGUCGAAGCCGCGUUGCCGGCUAGACGCACCAAGAGCGUACACGUUGGGACCCGAAAGAUGGUGACCUAUGCCUGGCCAGGACGAAGCCAGGGGAAACCCUGGUGGAGGUCCGCAGCGAUUCUGACGUGCAAAUCGAUCGUCGGAGUUGGGUAUAGGGGCGAAAGACUAAUCGAACCAUCUAGUAGCUGGUUCCCCCCGAAGUUCCCUCAGAA